This 39-nucleotide ribosomal RNA is filed under the name Thelephoraceae sp. C.t.-1. RNAcentral describes it as "partial 28S ribosomal RNA". The record is from RNAcentral. Lineage: Eukaryota; Fungi; Basidiomycota; Agaricomycetes; Thelephorales; Thelephoraceae.
UUUGAUCUCAAAUCAGGUAGGGCUACCCGCUGAACUUAA